CAGCCGCCGCGGUAAUACGUAGGUGGCAAGCGUUGUCCGGAAUUAUUGGGCGUAAAGCGCGCGCAUGUGGUUUAAUAAGUCUGAUGUGAAAGCCCACGGCUCAACCGUGGAGGGUCAUUGGAAACUGUUAAACUUGAGUGCAGGAGAGAAAAGUGGAAUUCCUAGUGUAGCGGUGAAAUGCGUAGAGAUUAGGAGGAACACCAGUGGCGAAGGCGGCUUUUUGGCCUGUAACUGACACUGAGGCGCGAAAGCGUGGGGAGCAAACAGGAUUAGAUACCCGCGUAGUCCCUGUCUCUUAUAC
RNAcentral lists this ribosomal RNA (301 nucleotides) under uncultured bacterium. RNAcentral's name for it is "partial 16S ribosomal RNA". It matches the Rfam family "Bacterial small subunit ribosomal RNA", at positions 509 to 807 of the family's 1533-position model. The record is from RNAcentral.